Molecule: long non-coding RNA, 1048 nt
Organism: Panicum virgatum (switchgrass)
Lineage: Eukaryota; Viridiplantae; Streptophyta; Magnoliopsida; Poales; Poaceae
Exons: 2
Source: RefSeq, a predicted model, not a curated record
AGUUCUUCUGCAUGUGAUCCUUAUACAGAUUCUUAUCCUCUGGUUUACAUCUAUAGGUGAAUAAACAUCUGCAGUACUGUUGAGAUGUGCCUGAUAUAUUGCCAUCAACGUUAGAUGUCUGUAACUGCAAUUUUCACAAAAGGAGGUUCUGCUUUUAUAUUCUCUUUCCUUGCAGGCAAUAGUGGAUACGAGAUGCAAGAUCACAGGUACAUAUUUAACUAUUGGAAUUUACUUCCUUCUAUUUUAAUUCAAUUGCUUCUUUUGUUUCAAAAGAUUUAAUUGUUUCUAAAAAUUGUUUCAGAUUCAUUUGAUUAAUUCUGGCCACCUACAAGAGAUGUAACUUUCUGUUUGUCUUGGAGCCUGUCAAUUUUUUGCCUCUGUUGUUUAAUUACAAGUCAAGUGCAAAGUAUAGUGCUACUUGCAUAAUAGAUUUUAUUUACUAAAGGCAAGAGUAUAUACGCUGUUUUGGAUCUAGUUGCUCGAAGUAUCAUAUUGACAAUAAUUUGACUGUGCACAGUCCGCUCUAUCAAAGUAACAUUUUUUAUAGAAAAUUUUAUGACUUAAUAAUAUAAGUGAACUACAUUGAAUAAUAUCUAAAUUAACCAUUCCUUAUACUUUUUGAAAGAAAUCGUAUAUUUGAAUGCUUGUGCUUACAAGUUUGUGCUUCAUUUUUGUUUAGGAUGAUUAUUCAAAUAAAUAUAGAUAGCGAAGUUUCUUCAAUAAGAGGUUCCCUUCAAAAUUUGAAAAUCUAGGAAUCUAGUGUUCAUUCAGACAAGGACAUUUCUAUUUCAGCUUUAGAAUAGAGAUUUGGCUGAUGCAGAGUGAACUUGAACAGAGAGUCGUCAGUUUGCCAGGACAAAUGUAUUGACACUGUAGGUAUUGAGAUGAUUCCAAGGAUGAAGUAUGGAAACACAAGAAAGUUUACCCAUUUCAGAUGUCAUGUAUAUUUUACUUCUAGUCUGGAAUAUUGUAUACCAUCCCUCUCUGUAUCAUUUUCUUCCAUGUACAGAACAACUUAUUGAAGGGAAAUAUAUGGUAUAUUUUAUAA